This 1080-nucleotide long non-coding RNA is filed under the name Homo sapiens (human). RNAcentral describes it as "non-protein coding WASIR2:4". Lineage: Eukaryota; Metazoa; Chordata; Mammalia; Primates; Hominidae. The record is from RNAcentral.
CGGCAGUCACUUUGCGGCCACUAUGAGGACUGAGCUUCCUCUCCCCAGGACCCGCAUGGGAGAGACCGCGGCUUCGAGACACCUGGGGACACCUGGGGACACCUGGGGCGGCGUCCGCGGUGAGGACUGGGAGACGCUGCUGCAUCUCCGGGACACCACUUGGGGCCGAGGCCAAGUGCAGGCCAAGAUGCAGGUUACGGAUGACCCACCCAGGAGGGGCCAUGGCUUCGAGACACCUGAGGACACCUGGGGCCACGUCCGCGAUGAGGACAUCUCUGGGACACCUGGGGCUGCAUCUCCGGGACACCUGGGGCUGACCCUGGUACGGGGAAAGGAGGAGGAACACAGAGACGCCCUCGUGAGGUCGGGGACCAGCAGGCACCACAGUCUAAGGCCAAUGAAACAGGCGCCCCUAGAUGAGUGCUCGGUGUUUGUUUUGUUUUGUUUUCUUUUGAGAAGGAGUUUCGCUCUUGCUCCCCAGGCUGGAGUGCGAUGUCGCGAUCUCGACUCACUGCAACCUCUGCCUCCCGGGUUCAAGCGAUUCUCCUGCCUCAGCCUCCCGAGUAGCUGGGAUUACAGUCAUGCGCCAUCACGCCCGGCUAAUUUUGUAGUUUUAGUAGAGACGGUGUUUCUCCAUGUUGAUCAGGCUGGUCUCGAACUCCUGAUCUCAGGUGAUCCACCCACCUCGGCCUCCCAAAGUGCUGGAAUUACAGGCGUGACCCACUGGGCCCGGCCAGUGCUUUGUGUUUUAAGGCUCUUUUGUUAACGCAGUGGAAACAACACAGGAAAUGGAAAAGCAGGCACAUUAUCAUUCUCAGGCCACUGCAUUUAGCCUGGGCGACAGAGCGAGACCUUGUCUCAAAAAACAAAAACAAAUGAAAACAAAAACAAACCAUUUUGUGUGUCUAAUGGAAGUGACCUCGUCAACAACAGUCUUUUGUUGAGAAAGUCUGUUUAAUUGGCAGUGUAUUUGUAAUGGUACAUAAAAUGACGUCUGCUUUAUAAGCAUUCUCAUUCCUAUAUUAGAUGAAAUGUAUUAACUAUAUCAAGCUUUGAUAUUAUACCAUAAAAUUACUUGAA